Molecule: long non-coding RNA, 1198 nt
Filed under: Apis mellifera (honey bee)
Lineage: Eukaryota; Metazoa; Arthropoda; Insecta; Hymenoptera; Apidae
Description: uncharacterized LOC100578593, transcript variant X1
Source: RNAcentral
UUAUUUCAAAUUACAAAACAAUUAAUAACAAAGUAGAUAAAUUCAAAGUAAUUUGCAUUUAUGCAUAUAUAUAUUUAAAACUUAUUCGAGAUAUAUACCGUUUUCUACGCAUUAUGCUUUUUACACACAACACUCACACACAUUAUUAGCAUUCUGUCGAUUUGUAAAAUAUAUAGAAAAAUUGGAGGACUUAAUUUUAUUAGUAGUUGAAGAGAACGUGGUGAUAAUUACACAGUUAAUUUGUUUAGCCGCGAAUCAUGGUAAAAAAUCGCGUGAAAUUGCAAAAAUGUCAACGACCAGUGUUGUUUCGUUUAUCUUUUUUCAUGCGAUAUCAGCGCAUGUCGACAAUAUGCUCAUGCAGAUGCACAAUUACAUCACGAUAAUCUUUGUAAACCGACAAUUACAUGAAUAAUGUGAAUAGACAUUGAGAAUGAACAUUUCAUCCGCUUUCAUCGGUUUGUUUAUUGAGUUUGUUAAGUUUAGGAUAAUGGAAAAAUCAGAUGAAGAAGUCUUGUUUAACGGAUGUAAUAAAAUUUUUUUUCUAACCUAGAGAAAUAAAAAAAUUAAUGUUUAAUAGUUUAAAGGUAUUAUAAAUAUCAAGAAUAUCUGAUGUUGCACAUUUUUCAAUCGAUUGUUCUUUAAUAAUAAUGACAUACAAAAGAAAGAGCAAAGAAUUUUCCAUAAUCGCAUAAAAGGAAAUGAUGCAUUCAUCGACUUAGAAUAUAUCCAAUAGCAAAAGAAGAAUUCCCAAUUUCAUCAGGUCGCACAGCUACAUCUACAGAUAUCUAAGAGGUAACGAGGAGUCAUUCUGACGCAAUAGGGAGACAACGCGAGUCACGAUCGGUCAAGAGAGUUUCCUAUUGAAAUACCGCUGAUGGACGAAAUUGCAUUUCCGCAACUAUCAUUUUUUUGAUCGUGAUACUUUGUCUCCAUCAAUAAGAAAAAUUAGCUAUAAGAUAUUUAUUCAUUCAUUCAAAAAUAUUGAAUGAAACAGGUGAGAAGAAUGUGAAAUGAAAGUCAAUAGAAGAUAAAAAAGUAUAUGGUGAUAAUUUUUUGUGAUUCUUCAUCAUUUUACCUUGACUAAGAGCUGUAGCUUUCUCUGUACAUUUUUAUUAUCCUUGCAAUAAUAGGAAGAAUUCUGUACUUGAACUAGAGAAAACAAAAUGUAUAUAUUUAAAAUUUUUUAUAUGUUUAUUAU